Molecule: ribosomal RNA, 701 nt
Filed under: uncultured bacterium
Lineage: Bacteria
Description: bacterial SSU rRNA
Rfam family: Bacterial small subunit ribosomal RNA
Source: RNAcentral
CUUCGGGAGGAUGCGCAAGAGGGCAGCGGGAGUGGCGGACGGGUGCGUAACACGUGAGCGACCUGCCGUUGUGUGGGGGAUAACCGGGGGAAACUCCGGCUAAUACCGCAUGGGCCCUGGGGCUGCAUGGCCUGGGGGUGAAAGGUCCUUUAGGGGACUGCGCAACGAGGGGCUCGCGGCGUAUCAGCUAGCUGGUGGGGUAACGGCCUACCAGGGCGAUGACGCGUAGCUGAUCUGAGAGGAUGAUCAGCCACACUGGGACUGAGAUACGGCCCAGACUCCUACGGGAGGCAGCAGUGGGGAAUCUUGCGCAAUGGCCGAGAGGCUGACGCAGCGACGCCGCGUGCGGGAGGACGCUCUUCGGGGUGUAAACCGCUGUCGGGAGGGACGAAGAUCCUGGGGAGGCAAUGCCCCGGGGGUGACGGUACCUCCAGAGGAAGCACCGGCUAACUCCGUGCCAGCAGCCGCGGUAAUACGGAGGGUGCGAGCGUUGUUCGGAAUUACUGGGCGUAAAGGGCGCGUAGGCGGCCGUUUAAGUCUACCUGUGAAAGGCCGGGGCUCAACCCCGUGCUGGCAGGAGAUACUGGGCGGCUGGCGACAUGUCAGAGGCGGGUGGAAUUCCGGGUGUAGCGGUGGAAUGCGUAGAGAUCCGGGAGACACCGGGGGCGAUGCGGCCGCUGGGGCCUGGUCUGACGCUGAGC